RNAcentral lists this ribosomal RNA (483 nucleotides) under uncultured bacterium. RNAcentral's name for it is "partial 16S ribosomal RNA". It matches the Rfam family "Bacterial small subunit ribosomal RNA", at positions 28 to 507 of the family's 1533-position model. The record is from RNAcentral.
GACGAACGCUGGCGGCGUGCUUAACACAUGCAAGUCGAACGCUGAAGCUCAGCUUUUGUUGGGUGGAUGAGUGGCGAACGGGUGAGUAACACGUGAGUAACCUGCCCCCUUCUUUGGGAUAACGCCCGGAAACGGGUGCUAAUACUGGAUAUUCACUGGUCUUCGCAUGGGGGUUGGUGGAAAGGGUUUUUCUGGUGGGGGAUGGGCUCGCGGCCUAUCAGCUUGUUGGUGGGGUGAUGGCCUACCAAGGCUUUGACGGGUAGCCGGCCUGAGAGGGUGACCGGGCACAUUGGGACUGAGAUACGGCCCAGACUACUACGGGGGGCGGCAGUGGGGAAUAUUGCACAAUGGGCGCAAGCCUGAUGCAGCGACGCCGCGUGAGGGAUGGAGGCCUUCGGGUUGUGAACCUCUUUCGCUAAUGGUCAAGCCGCAACAAUGGUUGUGGUGAGGGUAGUGGGUAAAGAAGCGCCGGCUAACUACGUG